Molecule: small nuclear RNA, 107 nt
Filed under: Cervus elaphus hippelaphus
Lineage: Eukaryota; Metazoa; Chordata; Mammalia; Artiodactyla; Cervidae
Also listed under: 1 other name
Source: RNAcentral
GUGCUCACUUCGGCAGCACAUAUACUAAAAUUGAAACAAUACAGAGAAGAUUAGCAUGGCCCCUGUGCAAGGAUGACAUGCAAAUUCAUGAAGAGUUCCAUAUUUAA